This 405-nucleotide ribosomal RNA is filed under the name uncultured bacterium. RNAcentral describes it as "bacterial SSU rRNA". It matches the Rfam family "Bacterial small subunit ribosomal RNA", at positions 30 to 440 of the family's 1533-position model. The record is from RNAcentral.
AUUGAACGCUGGCGGAAUGCUUUACACAUGCAAGUCGAACGGUAGAGGGGGCAACCCCUUGAGAGUGGCGAACGGGUGAGUAAUAUAUCGGAACGUGCCCAGUCGUGGGGAUAACGUAGCGAAAGUUACGCUAAUACCGCAUACGAUCUAAGGAUGAAAGCGGGGGGAUCGCAAGACCUCGCGCGAUUGGAGCGGCCGAUAUCAGAUUAGGUAGUUGGUGAGGUAAAGGCUCACCAAGCCAACGAUCUGUAGCUGGUCUGAGAGGACGACCAGCCACACUGGAACUGAGACACGGUCCAGACUCCUACGGGAGGCAGCAGUGGGGAAUUUUGGACAAUGGACGCAAGUCUGAUCAGCCAUUCCGCGUGCAGGAUGAAGGCCCUCGGGUUGUAAACUGCUUUGUAC